This 253-nucleotide ribosomal RNA is filed under the name uncultured bacterium. RNAcentral describes it as "partial 16S ribosomal RNA". It matches the Rfam family "Bacterial small subunit ribosomal RNA", at positions 524 to 776 of the family's 1533-position model. The record is from RNAcentral.
UACGGAGGGUGCAAGCGUUAUCCGGAUUCACUGGGUUUAAAGGGUGCGUAGGUGGCUAUAUAAGUCAGUGGUGAAAGCCCGCGGCUCAACCGUGGAAUUGCCAUUGAAGCUGCAUAGCUUGAGUACAAUUGAAGUGGGCGGAAUACAUCAUGUAGCGGUGAAAUGCUUAGAUAUGAUGUAGAACACCGAUUGCGAAGGCAGCUCACUAAGUUGUAACUGACACUGAGGCACGAAAGCGUGGGUAGCGAACAGG